This 335-nucleotide unclassified non-coding RNA is filed under the name uncultured fungus. RNAcentral describes it as "sequence contains ITS1". The stretch from base 1 to 97 matches the Rfam family "5.8S ribosomal RNA", at positions 50 to 154 of the family's 154-position model. Lineage: Eukaryota; Fungi. The record is from RNAcentral.
GAAAUGCGAUAAGCAAUGCGAAUUGCAGAAUUCCGCGAGUCAUCAGAUCUUUGAACGCAUGUGGCGCUGGUUAUCCAGCAUGUUUGUUUCAGUGUGUUCGGAAAUCACACAACUCAGUGCGAUUGAGAUUAUCAUUUACUUGAUAGUUUCUCUCGUUAAACACGGCGAGCGCUCCGAGCAACGCGCACACCCCCAAACGAAGUAGUCACUUUUUACUAAGUGAUCUCGUUAGGGAUCAAAGCUGCCGGGCUCAACUUAAAAGAAGCGCCGCGAUUAAAAAUAUAUCACUUCUCCAGUGACACCUGAAAUCAAGCAAGGUUACCCGCUGAACUUAA